UAGGGAAUCUUCGGCAAUGGGGGCAACCCUGACCGAGCAACGCCGCGUGAGUGAAGAAGGUUUUCGGAUCGUAAAGCUCUGUUGUAAGAGAAGAACGUGUGUGAGAGUGGAAAGUUCACACAGUGACGGUAACUUACCAGAAAGGGACGGCUAACUACGUGCCAGCAGCCGCGGUAAUACGUAGGUCCCGAGCGUUGUCCGGAUUUAUUGGGCGUAAAGCGAGCGCAGGCGGUUUAAUAAGUCUGAAGUUAAAGGCAGUGGCUUAACCAGUGUUCGCUGUAGAAACUGUUAGACUUGAGUGCAGAAGGGGAGCGUGGAAUUCCAUGUGUAGCGGUGAAAUGCGUAGAUAUAUGGAGGAACACCGGUGGCGAAGGCGGCUCUCUGGUCUGUAACUGACGCUGAGGCUCGAAAGCGUGGGGAGCAAACAGG
RNAcentral lists this ribosomal RNA (429 nucleotides) under bacterium. Its description in RNAcentral is "partial 16S ribosomal RNA". It matches the Rfam family "Bacterial small subunit ribosomal RNA", at positions 355 to 776 of the family's 1533-position model. The record is from RNAcentral.